RNAcentral lists this transfer RNA (71 nucleotides) under Marmota monax (woodchuck). RNAcentral describes it as "tRNA.Ala". It matches the Rfam family "tRNA". Rfam says of the family: Transfer RNA (tRNA) molecules are approximately 80 nucleotides in length. Their secondary structure includes four short double-helical elements and three loops (D, anti-codon, and T loops). The record is from RNAcentral. Lineage: Eukaryota; Metazoa; Chordata; Mammalia; Rodentia; Sciuridae.
GGGGUUGUGGCUCAGCGGUAGAGCGCUCAUCUCGCACACGUGGGACCCUGGGUUCGAUCCUCAGCACCACG